CCUUCGAUAGCUCAGUUGGUAGAGCGGUGGACUGUAGAGGUCUGAAACAUCCAGGAGAUAUCCAUAGGUCGCUGGUUCAAAUCCGGCUCGAAGGA
This 95-nucleotide transfer RNA is filed under the name Dufourea novaeangliae. It matches the Rfam family "tRNA". From Rfam's summary of the family: Transfer RNA (tRNA) molecules are approximately 80 nucleotides in length. Their secondary structure includes four short double-helical elements and three loops (D, anti-codon, and T loops). Lineage: Eukaryota; Metazoa; Arthropoda; Insecta; Hymenoptera; Halictidae. The record is from Rfam by way of RNAcentral.